CAGGGAGCAGGAAGAUGGAGCGAAAGUGCCAUCAAUGGAGGUGUUCAAGGACAUUGUUGAGGAGUUAGAAAAUGGGAGAGAGAAUUCUAACGGUGCGGAGCAGGAAUUCAUAGGUGGGGCGGGAAGAUUUUUUUCCUCAUGAAGAUUGCAGAGAAACUGAAGACUUUUGUUUUCUCUCUUCCUGUUGCAACUUGAACGUAGCCCUCACCUACCUCCACAGUAGACAGUUUUGAAGCUUUUUCACGCGUCAAUCGUAUUGUUGUGCUUUGUGGAGAACAUAACCCAACCAACCCCAAGUCAGCAAACCCAAGAGGAGAACUUGGGAGGCAGUGAUUUUGCUGCCUUUUGACGUCUUUUGCGGUAAAUUUGCCUUUUGGAUUAUGUACAUGAGGCUUUAAACUGUUCAUCACGUGUGUACAUGCUUCAUGCUCUUACUAUGCUGUAAAUGAGGAGUUUUAACUGUUAUUAUGGUUGU
This is a long non-coding RNA of Morus notabilis, 475 nucleotides long. RefSeq lists it as uncharacterized. NCBI's taxonomy places the organism in Eukaryota, Viridiplantae, Streptophyta, Magnoliopsida, Rosales, Moraceae. The record is from RefSeq and is a predicted model, not a curated record. The transcript is spliced from 3 exons.